Non-coding RNA from Myodes glareolus (Bank vole), 3866 nucleotides. The record is from RefSeq and is a predicted model, not a curated record. Lineage: Eukaryota; Metazoa; Chordata; Mammalia; Rodentia; Cricetidae.
UCUUUCUCCUAGUCCUGACGUCUGUGAGCUAGGGAGGCGGUCUGGGUGGGGUCUGGUGAGGACCCUGCUCCUGGUUUAUUUCUGUUCUCAUUUGUCAGGAAAGGGGUUGGCAGAGAGAAAGCAAGUUCACCAGCAUCUCUUCUUGUAAAGUCCCUCCUCCCAUUACAGGGACCCAUCUUUGUGACUUAACUACCUUCCAAGAACCUCAUCUUCCAACAGCCAUAAUAGGGAUUAUGGCUUCAAUACAUGAAAGGGGGUGUCCUCAGUGGCUGGGUCCUUGGGUGACUGGACUGAAGUCUGGGCAAAGAGCAAGGAGACAGAAUCAGCCUCUACAGCUGGGGAUACGAAAGCAGCUCAGCACUGUGGGAUGUGAGGGUAACUGCCGAGGUUUGCGAGAGCUGAGGCUGGAAGGACCCGUGGCUUCACAUUGCCUGGCACGCCCAUCAGGACGUAGAUUCUGGGGUCCCCUCCAUCCCGAAAGAAUGAAUGCCCAUGGAGGAGACCAUGGAAGUAGUCUUUUGCCAAUGACCAGGGAAUCUGCACGUGCCCUGGUCAGUCUUGUCCCUAGGACCCCAGGUACCCAAGGGGCACAGAGCACCGAGUCUGGUUCCUGCUGAAGAGAUGUUUGAAUGUCCUGCCUAUAAGACCUGCUGCUGGGGCCACCUGCCUCCUUCCUUCACCAUGUGCCUGUCCAAGUACAAGACAGAGAGCUGGGGAAAGACAGGUUUCCAGCUGGGCGAGCUCCCUUAGUCUGUGCAGCAGGGCACAGACAAAUCUCCCCCACCUUGUUUCUGCUUGGCUGGACUCUAGCCUUGUGAGCUGGAAGGACAAUCUUUCUCCUUUCUCUGUCCUAAGUGAAACCCGACUCACACCUGGGCUCCUCAGCCCUGCUGGGUUCAGAGCACCGUGGCGAAGCUGGGGAGGAGGGGAGGCCUGCCUGUCCUUCACCCAAGGUGAAUCUGAGGCUUCUAGGAGGGAGGUCCCUGUAGCUGCUCACGUGGAUGAGGCGCUGUGUGUUUGGCCGGCCCCUCUCACACCCCAUCUAUGCUGUGUGUACGCUAUUCCUUCUCAAAUGCGUCUUCCUACCACUGGCUAACCUCUGCUUGUUCUGAGCCCCCGUUCUCUGAGACACCACUUCGCACACGACACCUCACCUCAGUCAGCUGUUCCAGUCUACACCACCCUGCGCUAGACUGACCUGAAACUAGAACACAAAAGUGGACACACCUGUCCCCUCCUGCUUCAAUUUUGCUGCAAACUCCUCAAGGUCCUAAUCGAUGGUGCUUCAUUCUGUUCCCCAGUCCCUGGCACACCACAGGAGCGCAACAGAUAUCUGGGGAAACAAGCGGAAUCUGGCCUAGGAGAAAGGUGCCCUCUUUGUUUGGGACAGGUCUUGCUAUGCAGCCCCUAGUGGGACUUCCUGUCCAUAUAGCCCAGGCUAGUCUCAAAUCUGUGGCAUUCCCUUUGCUUCGGGUUCCUGAGCAAUGGGUUUAUAACCUACCACACCCACGUGACAAGACGAUUUAACAUAGAAUGUAAAGAAUUUGCUCUUUGCUAUAUUUAGGAUUGGAGGCUUCUCCUCUUCCCCAGACAGAUUAAUGAGUAAACCAAAGGUGACUGCUUCCAUCUUAGAGGGCCAGAGGGAAGGCAGGGCUCCUUUAAAUAUUAAACCUUCAUUGAAACUUACAGAAAUCUGCCUUACAGAUCAUUAACUUCUGCCACAGGAAGGAACCAGGAGCCAGUAGGGGUCUGAGUUCGGAGAAGAACCAAGGCAGACUACCUUGGAACCAGAUAGGUUUGGGUUCAUAAAGUAGCUACACCAGCUGUGUGGCCCAGAGCAAGUCAAUGUCUCUGGACCUCAGAUUUCCACAUUGCCAAAGUGGAGGCACACUGCAUUAUUAAGAGAGCCCAUGAAGUACCUUAGUUUUGAAGGUCCCAGUGGCAGGCAGCAACUGCACUGUGAUGUUGCCUGGCGAAGACAUGAAUGGGCUAAGCUGUUCUCAGGGUUCACCUUGGACACCAGGAAGAAGCUUUACUUUAUGUGUAUGGGUUCUGUGACGGUUAUCCUUGGUUGUCAACUUGACUCUGCCUCGAAUGAACUACAAUCCAGAAAUGGAAGGCACACCUGUGAUCCGGAUCUCGAGGCAGGUGACACAGGCUUUUGAUCUGGAUCUUGAGGAGCACAUCCGUUCCUUCACCGGCGUUGGAGCCUUUGGGAUGCCACCGUAUACAGAAGACCAGGUGAGACACCCAGCCUCGUGGGACAGAGCAGCUACUGGAUCCUUGGGCUUGUGGUCCUCCUACCUCUGUUCUCUUAAGUGUUAAGAUUACAAGUGUGUACAACCCAGUUCAGGUAGUGCUAGGCAUCAAACCCAAACCCAGGGCCUCACGCUUGCUAAGGGAAUUUCUCCCGGCUGAGCUACAUCCCAACCUGAUUCGAAGUGUUUGGUUUACUUUGUUGACAGGGUCUCACUGUGUAGCACUGGCUGAUCUGAAACUCACAGAGAUUCACCUGCCUCUGCCUCCUGAGUUCUGGGAUUAAAGGCGUAUGCCACCACCGCCCAGCUUCAGUUUGAGGUUUUAAAGACUAAACAUCUCAUAUUGUGCUACAGAUGCGAACAACUGCACUGAACAGUGUGAUGAUCGAAGUCCCUAAGUCUUUGGAGACCUGCACUUACUAGCUUGGUCCUGACUGUUCACUGAAUCUGCACAAAGGGACAAGACAAUAGUGCUGGACUCCUGAAGUCACAGAAUGCCUGUCCAAGUAGACAGACCCCUCACCCCUACCCCAUAAUAUGAGUCACCACCAUGACUGAUCAUCUCAUGAAUGAUGUGAUCAGCAUUAAACCAAAGCAGAAAGUGCCUCGUUUAAGGAACUACUUAUUCUGGGAACAUGGCAGGGGGUGCCUCUGACUCUGUUAACCAGAGCUGCAGUGAGUGAGUUAGAUUCGCUUACUUAUAUGGGGUUUGCCCUUUGGUUCCUAAAUUGGUCCUGCUGUCAGUUCCUGACAGUCUGCUCGGAUCUGGGCCGGAUUACCUGCCCAGGGUCUUCCUCCCACAGGCCAGGGAAGGCAGACAUCCUUUUGGUUUCUGAGUACUCAGACGGAACCCAGGACCUCUGGCACAGUAGGCAAAUUCUCUACCCCAGCACUACAUCCUCAGCCCAUUUCUUCACUUUUCAUUUCGAGAAAGGGUCUCACUAGAUUGACUAUGUUGGCCUUGAACUAGCAAAUCCUCCUGCUUCCGUCUCCGGAUCAACUGGGAUUACAGGCACACACAGCACACACACGGGGCAGAACUGGUUUUUCGCUUACGUGCUCUGCUCAGACCUUUAGCUUUGUGCAGUAGCUACACUGCCUUCUAGCAGCUGCCCCCCACAAAAAAUUAAUUAUUCUAGUUGAGGUAAAAUGUGCUGGCGAAAGGGACGAUGAAUGAGCAUGUUCUCUUUUCAGAGGUUUUGGAUAUAUUCUGGUUCCUCUUACUGUCUCACCCCACACACACACACACACACACCCAAAAAAAAAAUUUGGUUUGGACAUUAGAGAGACUUGGUCACCUCCCUCUUUUUCCAUGGAGAACGCUCCAUGGAUCUAGGGCACAGUUGUCAGCCCUCUGUCGCUCGUUCAGCAGAGGCCUGAACCCAGCUCUGUUCGGGGAUCCUCAGCGCCCGGAGAACCGGUCCCUUCCAAUGUGGCUGGCAAUGCAGACCCCACUUUUGGCUGCCUGUGUGAGCUGUCCACUCCGGCUUGCUCUGGCGUCUCCGCAGAGCCAGAGCAGCGGCCAAUGACCUUGACCUAGGAGGGCGCCCAAGGUCGAUGUAGCUGGUUCUUCGGGGAAGUCCACCUACUCCACCCGAAACGUUCUCU